UUUAGCUUAGUGGUAGAGCGUGUGCUUCGUAAGCAGAAGGUCGUCAGUUGAAUACUGGCAAG
RNAcentral lists this transfer RNA (62 nucleotides) under Perkinsus olseni. Its description in RNAcentral is "tRNA-Thr". It matches the Rfam family "tRNA", at positions 6 to 65 of the family's 71-position model. From Rfam's summary of the family: Transfer RNA (tRNA) molecules are approximately 80 nucleotides in length. Lineage: Eukaryota; Perkinsozoa; Perkinsida; Perkinsidae. The record is from RNAcentral.